Molecule: long non-coding RNA, 329 nt
Organism: Erpetoichthys calabaricus (reedfish)
Lineage: Eukaryota; Metazoa; Chordata; Cladistia; Polypteriformes; Polypteridae
Exons: 3
Source: RefSeq, a predicted model, not a curated record
AGCUGUCACAACUCUUACAACUGCAAUCUGGUACAAGUCCAAAUGCAAAAUCUCAGGGAGAGCAAAAUACCAGUACAGGAAUUACUUGUGUUGACCAAAACCCUAAGGCUCAAGUUGCAAGUGUACCAUCUCAAAAUGAAAUCCCCACAGUUAGCGCUCACUGCAGAAGAUAUGAAAAUGGAUCGGCUGUUAUUGUGCCUGAAACAUUGGAGGAAGCUCACAUAGAACCUGAAAUAGAAAUUGUCCAUUCUGCUAUUGGAAAAGGCCCAAUAAACACUGGCAAAAAAAUACCAGAAAAUGCAAAAGUGGAGCAUAACGUGAGUCAAGAA